UGGUACAUCACUAGUGUUGAUAUUGGUUCGUCAGAAUCCUUUUUACAUGGAGGGAAACUUCCCACUCUCAUUGUUCAAUCAGCAGGCCAUGCUGUGCACAUCUUUGUUAAUGGAGAGCUUUCAGGUUCUGCCUUUGGGACAAGGGAGAAUAAGAGGUUUACAUAUACUGGAAAGGUCAAUUUGCGUGCUGGAAAAAACAAAAUUGCAUUGCUGAGUGUUGCAGUUGGAUUGCAAAAUGUGGGUGGACACUUUGAGACAUGGAACACAGGAAUCCUAGGUCCAGUUGCACUGCAUGGACUUGACCAGGGAAAAUGGGAUUUGUCCUGGCAAAAAUGGACAUAUCAGGUUGGGCUGAAAGGGGAAGCCAUGAACCUAGUUUCUCCAAAUAGUGUUUCAUCUGUUGGGUGGAUGGAAGCAUC
RNAcentral lists this unclassified non-coding RNA (419 nucleotides) under Hevea brasiliensis (rubber tree). Lineage: Eukaryota; Viridiplantae; Streptophyta; Magnoliopsida; Malpighiales; Euphorbiaceae. The record is from RNAcentral.